Molecule: transfer RNA, 72 nt
Filed under: Marmota monax (woodchuck)
Lineage: Eukaryota; Metazoa; Chordata; Mammalia; Rodentia; Sciuridae
Description: tRNA.Ala
Source: RNAcentral
GUAAUGUCCGGCCCAUGUAAAAUUCCAGGGAGAGGUAAUACACUCUCUAAAAUAAAGAAAGGAAAGGUCAUG